UGAAGCCCCCCUCAAGAUGAGAUUUCCCAACUUCGGUUAUAAGAUCCCUCAAAGAUGAUGAGGUUAAUAGGUUCGAGGUGGAAGCAUGGUGACAUGUGGAGCUGACGAAUACUAAUCGAUCGAAGACUUAAUCAA
This 135-nucleotide ribosomal RNA is filed under the name Staphylococcus aureus. Its description in RNAcentral is "partial 23S ribosomal RNA". It matches the Rfam family "Bacterial large subunit ribosomal RNA", at positions 2788 to 2925 of the family's 2925-position model. The record is from RNAcentral. Lineage: Bacteria; Bacillati; Bacillota; Bacilli; Caryophanales; Staphylococcaceae.